Molecule: ribosomal RNA, 429 nt
Filed under: Verrucomicrobiota bacterium
Lineage: Bacteria; Pseudomonadati; Verrucomicrobiota
Description: Verrucomicrobia bacterium partial 16S ribosomal RNA
Rfam family: Bacterial small subunit ribosomal RNA
Source: RNAcentral
UAGGGAAUCUUCGGCAAUGGGGGGAACCCUGACCGAGCAACGCCGCGUGAGUGAAGAAGGUUUUCGGAUCGUAAAGCUCUGUUGUUAAGGAAGAACGAGUGUGAGAAUGGAAAGUUCAUGCUGUGACGGUACUUAACCAGAAAGGGACGGCUAACUACGUGCCAGCAGCCGCGGUAAUACGUAGGUCCCGAGCGUUGUCCGGAUUUAUUGGGCGUAAAGCGAGCGCAGGCGGUUAGAAAAGUCUGAAGUGAAAGGCAGUGGCUCAACCAUUGUAGGCGUUGGAAACAGUUUAACUUGAGAGCGGAAGGGAAGAGUGGAAUUCCAUGUGUAGCGGUGAAAUGCGUAGAUAUAUGGAGGAACACCGGUGGCGAAAGCGGAUCUCUGUUCUAUAACUGACGCUGAGGCUCGAAAGCGUGGGGAGCGAACAGG